GACGAACGCUGGCGGCGUGCUUAACACAUGCAAGUCGAACGGUGAAGCGCCUUCCUUUUUGGUGGGUGUGGAUGAGUGGCGAACGGGUGAGUAACACGUGAGUAACCUGCCCCCUUCUUCUGGAUAACCGCAUGAAAGUGUGGCUAAUACGGGAUAUUCUGGGUCUGUCGCAUGAUGGGUCUGGGAAAGAUAUUGUUUCUGUGGGGGAUGGGCUCGCGGCCUAUCGGGUUGUUGGGGGGGUGAUGGCCUACCAAGGCGGUGACGGGUAGCCGGCCUGAGAGGGUGGCCGGCCAGACUGGGAGUGAGACACGGUCCAGACUCCGACGGGAGGCAGCAGGGGGGAAUAGGGCACAAUGGGCGCAAGUCUGAUGCAGCGACGCCGCGUGAGGGAUGGAGGCCUUCGGGUUGUGAACCUCUUUCGCCAGUGAAGCAGGCCUGCCUCGUUUGUGGGUGGGUUGACGGUAGCUGGAUAAGAAGCGCCGGCUAACUACGUG
RNAcentral lists this ribosomal RNA (494 nucleotides) under uncultured bacterium. RNAcentral describes it as "partial 16S ribosomal RNA". It matches the Rfam family "Bacterial small subunit ribosomal RNA", at positions 28 to 507 of the family's 1533-position model. The record is from RNAcentral.